UAACACAUCAUAACGGAGGANAAAGAAACCAACAGGGAUUGCCCUAGUAACGGCGAGUGAAGCGGCAACAGCUCAAAUUUGAAAUCUGGCCCUUGGGUCCGAAUUGUAAUUUGUAGAGGAUGUUUUUGGUGCGGUAUCUUCCGAGUUCCUUGGAACAGGACGCCUUAGAGGGUGAGAGCCCCGUACGGUUGAAUGCCUAGCCUUUGUAAAACUCCUUCGACGAGUCGAGUAGUUUGGGAAUGCUGCUCUAAAUGGGAGGUAAAUUUCUUCUAAAGCUAAAUACCGGCCAGAGACCGAUAGCGCACAAGUAGAGUGAUCGAAAGAUGAAAAGCACUUUGAAAAGAGGGUUAAAUAGCACGUGAAAUUGUUGAAAGGGAAGGAUUUAUGACCAGACUUUUUCUAGGCAAAUCAUCCGGUGUUCUCACCGGUGCACUUUGUUUAGUUUAGGCCAGCAUCGAUUUUCGGAGUGGGAUAAAAGCUUUAGGAAUGUGGCUCCCUCGGGAGUGUUAUAGCCUAUUGUAUAAUACCACUCUGGGGAUCGAGGUACGCGCUUCUGCAAGGAUGCUGGCGUAAUGGUUAUCAAUCACCCGUCUUGAAACACGGACCAAGGAGUCGAACAUUUGUGCAAGUGUUUGGGUGUUAAACCCUCACGCGUAAUGAAAGUGAACGGAGGUGAGAGCCCUUACGGGUGCAUCAUCGACCGAUCCUGAUGUCUUCGGAUGGAUUUGAGUAAGAGCAUAAAUGUUCGGACCCGAAAGAUGGUGAACUAUGCGUGGAUAGGGUGAAGCCAGAGGAAACUCUGGUGGAGGCUCGCAGCGGUUCUGACGUGCAAAUCGAUCGUCAAAUCUGCGCAUGGGGGCGAAAGACUAAUCGAACCAUCUAGUAGCUGGUUACCGCGAGAUUUCCCUCCGGAAAACCA
This 919-nucleotide ribosomal RNA is filed under the name Synnemapestaloides shangrilaensis. Its description in RNAcentral is "Synnemapestaloides sp. LL-2021a partial large subunit ribosomal RNA". It matches the Rfam family "Eukaryotic large subunit ribosomal RNA", at positions 36 to 984 of the family's 3401-position model. Lineage: Eukaryota; Fungi; Ascomycota; Sordariomycetes; Amphisphaeriales; Sporocadaceae. The record is from RNAcentral.